RNAcentral lists this ribosomal RNA (253 nucleotides) under uncultured bacterium. RNAcentral describes it as "partial 16S ribosomal RNA". It matches the Rfam family "Bacterial small subunit ribosomal RNA", at positions 524 to 776 of the family's 1533-position model. The record is from RNAcentral.
UACGUAGGCAGCAAGCGUUGUUCGGAGUUACUGGGCGUAAAGAGUGCGUAGGCGGUCUUCUAAGUUUGGUGUGAAAUCUCCCGGCUUAACUGGGAGGGUGCGCCGAAAACUGGAAGGCUUGAGGAUGGGAGAGGCAUGCGGAAUUCCUGGUGUAGCGGUGAAAUGCGUAGAUAUCAGGAGGAACACCUGCGGUGUAGACAGCAUGCUGGACCAUUUCUGACGCUGAGGCACGAAAGCGUGGGUAGCAAACAGG